CAAAGGCUUGGUCCUGACCUUACUAUCAGCUUUAACUAAAUUUACACAUGCAAGUCUCCGCACCCCUGUGAGGAUGCCCUUAAUCCCCUGCCCGGGGCUGAGGAGCUGGCAUCAGGCACACAUUGUAGCCCAAGACGCCUUGCUAAGCCACACCCCUACGGGUACUCAGCAGUGAUAAAUAUUAAGUGAUAAGCGAAAGCUUGACUUAGUUAUUGUUAAAAGGGCCGGUAAAACUCGUGCCAGCCACCGCGGUUAUACGAGAGGCCCUAGUUGAUAAUUGUCGGCGUAAAGAGUGGUUUAGAAAAUAAUUUAAUAAAGCCGAACACCUCCUCAGUUGUUAUACACAUUUGAAGAUAUGAAGCCCUGCCGCGAAAGCAGCUUUAAGUAUCCUGAACCCACGACAGCUAUGGUACAAACUGGGAUUAGAUACCCCACUAUGCAUAGCCAUAAAUUUUGAUAAAAAUAUACAAUUUUAUCCGCCAGGGAACUACAAGCAUCAGCUUAAAACCCAAAGGACUUGGCGGUGCUUCAGACCCACCUAGAGGAGCCUGUUCUAUAACCGAUAACCCCCGCUUAACCUCACCAGCCCUUGUUCACCCCGCCUAUAUACCACCGUCGCCAGCUUAUCCUGUGAAGGUCCCAUAAUAAGCAAAAUGGGUAAAACCCAGAACGUCAGGUCGAGGUGUAGCGCAUGAGCUGGGAAGAAAUGGGCUACAUUUUCUAAUUCAGAAUAUACGGAACUACACUGUGAAACCAGUGCCCAAAGGUGGAUUUAGCAGUAAACAGAAAAUAGAGUGUUCUCUUGAAACUGGCUCUGAAGCGCGCACACACCGCCCGUCACUCUCUCCAAGUUCAACCCUAUUAUUAAAUAAAAAAUAUAUCGAACAAAGGAGAGGCAAGUCGUAACAUGGUAAGUGUACCGGAAGGUGCACUUAGUUUAAU
This is a non-coding RNA of Esox lucius (northern pike), 942 nucleotides long. Lineage: Eukaryota; Metazoa; Chordata; Actinopteri; Esociformes; Esocidae. The record is from Ensembl.